RNAcentral lists this ribosomal RNA (1362 nucleotides) under uncultured bacterium. RNAcentral's name for it is "16S ribosomal RNA". It matches the Rfam family "Bacterial small subunit ribosomal RNA", at positions 28 to 1381 of the family's 1533-position model. The record is from RNAcentral.
GAUGAACGCUAGCGACAGGCUUAACACAUGCAAGUCGAGGGGCAGCAGGGGAGUAGCAAUACUCCCGCUGGCGACCGGCGCACGGGUGAGUAACACGUAUGCAACCUGCCCUUGUCAGGGGGAUAAGCGGAAGAAAUUCCGUCUAAUACCGCAUAAUGCUGCGGGGAGACAUCUCCCUGCAGCCAAAGAUUUAUCGGACAAGGAUGGGCAUGCGGCGCAUUAGCUGGUUGGCGGGGUAACGGCCCACCAAGGCGACGAUGCGUAGGGGUUCUGAGAGGAAGGUCCCCCACACUGGUACUGAGACACGGACCAGACUCCUACGGGAGGCAGCAGUGAGGAAUAUUGGUCAAUGGCCGGGAGGCUGAACCAGCCAAGUCGCGUGAGGGAAGACGGUCCUAUGGAUUGUAAACCUCUUUUGUCAGGGAGCAAAAACUGCCACGCGUGGCAGGAUGAGAGUACCUGAAGAGAAAGCAUCGGCUAACUCCGUGCCAGCAGCCGCGGUAAUACGGAGGAUGCGAGCGUUAUCCGGAUUUAUUGGGUUUAAAGGGUGCGUAGGCGGACAGUUAAGUCAGCGGUAAAAUUGAGAGGCUCAACCUCUUCCCGCCGUUGAAACUGGUUGUCUUGAGUGGGCGAGAAGUAUGCGGAAUGCGUGGUGUAGCGGUGAAAUGCAUAGAUAUCACGCAGAACUCCGAUUGCGAAGGCAGCAUACCGGCGCCCAACUGACGCUGAAGCACGAAAGCGUGGGUAUCGAACAGGAUUAGAUACCCUGGUAGUCCACGCAGUAAACGAUGAAUACUAAUUGUUCGGGUCAAAUGAGAUCUGAGUGAUACAGCGAAAGCGUUAAGUAUUCCACCUGGGGAGUACGCCGGCAACGGUGAAACUCAAAGGAAUUGACGGGGGCCCGCACAAGCGGAGGAACAUGUGGUUUAAUUCGAUGAUACGCGAGGAACCUUACCCGGGCUCAAACGACACAGGAACGAUUUGAGAAAUCAGGCAGUCCUCCGGGACCUGUGUCGAGGUGCUGCAUGGUUGUCGUCAGCUCGUGCCGUGAGGUGUCGGCUUAAGUGCCAUAACGAGCGCAACCCCCAUCGACAGUUGCCAGCAGGUGAAGCUGGGCACUCUGUCGAGACUGCCGGCGCAAGCUGUGAGGAAGGCGGGGAUGACGUCAAAUCAGCACGGCCCUUACGUCCGGGGCGACACACGUGUUACAAUGGCAGGUACAGCGGGAAGCCACCUGGCGACAGGGAGCGGAACCCGAAAGCCUGUCUCAGUUCGGAUUGGAGUCUGCAACUCGACUCCAUGAAGCUGGAUUCGCUAGUAAUCGCGCAUCAGCCACGGCGCGGUGAAUACGUUCCCGGGCCU